Molecule: ribosomal RNA, 2548 nt
Filed under: Escherichia coli HVH 33 (4-2174936)
Lineage: Bacteria; Pseudomonadati; Pseudomonadota; Gammaproteobacteria; Enterobacterales; Enterobacteriaceae
Description: bacterial LSU rRNA
Rfam family: Bacterial large subunit ribosomal RNA
Source: RNAcentral
CUGUGAGCUCGAUGAGUAGGGCGGGACACGUGGUAUCCUGUCUGAAUAUGGGGGGACCAUCCUCCAAGGCUAAAUACUCCUGACUGACCGAUAGUGAACCAGUACCGUGAGGGAAAGGCGAAAAGAACCCCGGCGAGGGGAGUGAAAAAGAACCUGAAACCGUGUACGUACAAGCAGUGGGAGCACGCUUAGGCGUGUGACUGCGUACCUUUUGUAUAAUGGGUCAGCGACUUAUAUUCUGUAGCAAGGUUAACCGAAUAGGGGAGCCGAAGGGAAACCGAGUCUUAACUGGGCGUUAAGUUGCAGGGUAUAGACCCGAAACCCGGUGAUCUAGCCAUGGGCAGGUUGAAGGUUGGGUAACACUAACUGGAGGACCGAACCGACUAAUGUUGAAAAAUUAGCGGAUGACUUGUGGCUGGGGGUGAAAGGCCAAUCAAACCGGGAGAUAGCUGGUUCUCCCCGAAAGCUAUUUAGGUAGCGCCUCGUGAAUUCAUCUCCGGGGGUAGAGCACUGUUUCGGCAAGGGGGUCAUCCCGACUUACCAACCCGAUGCAAACUGCGAAUACCGGAGAAUGUUAUCACGGGAGACACACGGCGGGUGCUAACGUCCGUCGUGAAGAGGGAAACAACCCAGACCGCCAGCUAAGGUCCCAAAGUCAUGGUUAAGUGGGAAACGAUGUGGGAAGGCCCAGACAGCCAGGAUGUUGGCUUAGAAGCAGCCAUCAUUUAAAGAAAGCGUAAUAGCUCACUGGUCGAGUCGGCCUGCGCGGAAGAUGUAACGGGGCUAAACCAUGCACCGAAGCUGCGGCAGCGACGCUUAUGCGUUGUUGGGUAGGGGAGCGUUCUGUAAGCCUGUGAAGGUGUGCUGUGAGGCAUGCUGGAGGUAUCAGAAGUGCGAAUGCUGACAUAAGUAACGAUAAAGCGGGUGAAAAGCCCGCUCGCCGGAAGACCAAGGGUUCCUGUCCAACGUUAAUCGGGGCAGGGUGAGUCGACCCCUAAGGCGAGGCCGAAAGGCGUAGUCGAUGGGAAACAGGUUAAUAUUCCUGUACUUGGUGUUACUGCGAAGGGGGGACGGAGAAGGCUAUGUUGGCCGGGCGACGGUUGUCCCGGUUUAAGCGUGUAGGCUGGUUUUCCAGGCAAAUCCGGAAAAUCAAGGCUGAGGCGUGAUGACGAGGCACUACGGUGCUGAAGCAACAAAUGCCCUGCUUCCAGGAAAAGCCUCUAAGCAUCAGGUAACAUCAAAUCGUACCCCAAACCGACACAGGUGGUCAGGUAGAGAAUACCAAGGCGCUUGAGAGAACUCGGGUGAAGGAACUAGGCAAAAUGGUGCCGUAACUUCGGGAGAAGGCACGCUGAUAUGUAGGUGAAGCGACUUGCUCAUGGAGCUGAAAUCAGUCGAAGAUACCAGCUGGCUGCAACUGUUUAUUAAAAACACAGCACUGUGCAAACACGAAAGUGGACGUAUACGGUGUGACGCCUGCCCGGUGCCGGAAGGUUAAUUGAUGGGGUUAGCGCAAGCGAAGCUCUUGAUCGAAGCCCCGGUAAACGGCGGCCGUAACUAUAACGGUCCUAAGGUAGCGAAAUUCCUUGUCGGGUAAGUUCCGACCUGCACGAAUGGCGUAAUGAUGGCCAGGCUGUCUCCACCCGAGACUCAGUGAAAUUGAACUCGCUGUGAAGAUGCAGUGUACCCGCGGCAAGACGGAAAGACCCCGUGAACCUUUACUAUAGCUUGACACUGAACAUUGAGCCUUGAUGUGUAGGAUAGGUGGGAGGCUUUGAAGUGUGGACGCCAGUCUGCAUGGAGCCGACCUUGAAAUACCACCCUUUAAUGUUUGAUGUUCUAACGUUGACCCGUGAUCCGGGUUGCGGACAGUGUCUGGUGGGUAGUUUGACUGGGGCGGUCUCCUCCUAAAGAGUAACGGAGGAGCACGAAGGUUGGCUAAUCCUGGUCGGACAUCAGGAGGUUAGUGCAAUGGCAUAAGCCAGCUUGACUGCGAGCGUGACGGCGCGAGCAGGUGCGAAAGCAGGUCAUAGUGAUCCGGUGGUUCUGAAUGGAAGGGCCAUCGCUCAACGGAUAAAAGGUACUCCGGGGAUAACAGGCUGAUACCGCCCAAGAGUUCAUAUCGACGGCGGUGUUUGGCACCUCGAUGUCGGCUCAUCACAUCCUGGGGCUGAAGUAGGUCCCAAGGGUAUGGCUGUUCGCCAUUUAAAGUGGUACGCGAGCUGGGUUUAGAACGUCGUGAGACAGUUCGGUCCCUAUCUGCCGUGGGCGCUGGAGAACUGAGGGGGGCUGCUCCUAGUACGAGAGGACCGGAGUGGACGCAUCACUGGUGUUCGGGUUGUCAUGCCAAUGGCACUGCCCGGUAGCUAAAUGCGGAAGAGAUAAGUGCUGAAAGCAUCUAAGCACGAAACUUGCCCCGAGAUGAGUUCUCCCUGACUCUUUAAGGGUCCUGAAGGAACGUUGAAGACGACGACGUUGAUAGGCCGGGUGUGUAAGCGCAGCGAUGCGUUGAGCUAACCGGUACUAAUGAACCGUGAGGCUUAACCUU